Molecule: transfer RNA, 72 nt
Filed under: Enterobacter hormaechei
Lineage: Bacteria; Pseudomonadati; Pseudomonadota; Gammaproteobacteria; Enterobacterales; Enterobacteriaceae
Description: tRNA-Asn
Rfam family: tRNA
About the family: Transfer RNA (tRNA) molecules are approximately 80 nucleotides in length. Their secondary structure includes four short double-helical elements and three loops (D, anti-codon, and T loops).
Source: RNAcentral
UCCUUUGACAAGGGGUAGAACGGCGGACUGUUAAUCCGUAUGUCACUGGUUCGAGUCCAGUCAGAGGAGCCA